Molecule: unclassified non-coding RNA, 476 nt
Filed under: Melitaea cinxia (Glanville fritillary)
Lineage: Eukaryota; Metazoa; Arthropoda; Insecta; Lepidoptera; Nymphalidae
Description: misc RNA ENSMCXG00005021595.1
Rfam family: Eukaryotic large subunit ribosomal RNA (bases 1-405)
Source: RNAcentral
AAAAAAAAUGCGGAUGCGGCCGGUGCCGGGCCUGGUCGAUGCUGAAUCCGGACCCGCGUUCCGGCCUUCCGCGGCUCUCCCUAGCCGUAAGGCCGCGUCGGCUUCGUCUCGUGCGCGAUCGGCGCGGUUCUAUACGACCGCCGUUCAACGGUCAGCUCAGAACUGGCACGGACAAGGGGAAUCCGACUGUCUAAUUAAAACAAAGCAUUGCGAUGGCCCUCGCGGGUGUUGACGCAAUGUGAUUUCUGCCCAGUGCUCUGAAUGUCAACGUGAAGAAAUCCAAGCAAGCGCGGGUAAACGGCGGGAGUAACUAUGACUCUCUUGACAUGUCCAAAUGCCUCGUCAUCUAAUUAGUGACGCGCAUGAAUGGAUUAACGAGAUUCCCGCUGUCCCUAUCUACUACUUCGGUGACAGCCGUCAACCGUGCAACAUCGUUUUUGUAGUGCUCCGUAUUUAAAAAUCCGUUUUGUGGUUUU